UACGGGGGGGGCAAGCGUUGUUCGGAAUUACUGGGCGUAAAGGGCUCGUAGGCGGCCAACUAAGUCGGACGUGAAAUCCCUCGGCUUAACCGGGGAACUGCGUCCGAUACUGGAUGGCUUGAGUUCGGGAGAGGGAUGCGGAAUGCCAGGUGUAGCGGUGAAAUGCGUAGAUAUCUGGAGGAACACCGGUGGCGAAGGCGGCAUCCUGGACCGACACUGACGCUGAGGAGCGAAAGCCAGGGGAGCAAACGGG
Molecule: ribosomal RNA, 253 nt
Filed under: uncultured bacterium
Lineage: Bacteria
Description: partial 16S ribosomal RNA
Rfam family: Bacterial small subunit ribosomal RNA
Source: RNAcentral